UACGUAGGGGGCAAGCGUUGUCCGGAUUUAUUGGGCGUAAAGAGCGUGUCGGCGGCUAUACAGGUCCGCUGUGAAAACUCGAGGCUCAACCUCGAGACGUCGGUGGAAACCGUAUGGCUAGAGUCCGGAAGAGGAGAGUGGAAUUCCUGGUGUAGCGGUGAAAUGCGCAGAUAUCAGGAAGAACACCCGUGGCGAAGGCGGCUCUCUGGGACGGUACUGACGCUGAGACGCGAAAGCGUGGGGAGCAAACAGG
Molecule: ribosomal RNA, 253 nt
Filed under: uncultured bacterium
Lineage: Bacteria
Description: partial 16S ribosomal RNA
Rfam family: Bacterial small subunit ribosomal RNA
Source: RNAcentral